RNAcentral lists this ribosomal RNA (459 nucleotides) under uncultured bacterium. RNAcentral's name for it is "partial 16S ribosomal RNA". It matches the Rfam family "Bacterial small subunit ribosomal RNA", at positions 338 to 795 of the family's 1533-position model. The record is from RNAcentral.
CCUACGGGUGGCUGCAGUGAGGAAUAUUGGUCCAUGGUCGGGAGACUGAACCAGCCAAGCCGCGUGAGGGAUGAAGGUACAGAGUAUCGUAAACCUCUUUUGUCAGGGAACAAAGGCGGGGACGCGUCCCCGGAUGAGUGUACCUGAAGAAAAAGCAUCGGCUAACUCCGUCCCAGCAGCCGCGGUAAUACGGAGGAUGCGAGCGUUAUCCGGAUUGAUUGGGUUUAGGGGUUGCGCAGGCGGUCUGUAAAGUCAGCGGUAAAAGCCCGGGGCUCAACCCCGGCCCGCCGUUGAAACUGGCAGUCGCGAGUUGGAGAGAAGUAUGCGGAAUGCGCGGUGUAGCGGUGAAAUGCAUAGAUAGCGCGCAGAACUCCGAUUGCGAAGGCAGCAUGCCGGCUCCACACUGACGCUGAGGCACGAAAGCGUGGGUAUCGAACAGGAUUAGAUACCCCAGUAGUC